Long non-coding RNA from Hibiscus syriacus, 826 nucleotides. RefSeq lists it as uncharacterized. The record is from RefSeq and is a predicted model, not a curated record. The transcript has 3 exons. NCBI's taxonomy places the organism in Eukaryota, Viridiplantae, Streptophyta, Magnoliopsida, Malvales, Malvaceae.
UCACUCCAGGACGUCCAGACACACCGUUUUCCCUCUCCCACCUUGAAAAAAGAAGUUGCCAAUUAGGCAUUUUGCUCUUAUGGGUUGGUUUGCCGCGCUCCAAGCCUAACCCAGACCGGAACGAUUUUUUAAAACAAAUUCCAUAUCAUUGAGGUUUGAAAUAUGGUUGUUUUCAGUACUCGUGCAUGCUCUAUUCUUUGAUUUCCUAGGGUUUACAUAGGUAGCGUAUUCUGUUACAUUUUCCAUUAUCGAAGUUAUUUUUCAACUUUGACCGGUGUUAAGUGGGUAUUUGAUUUCUUUUUCUAUAUUUUAUUACUUGGAUUGGAGGCACACGUUCAAAUUUAGCAUACUAUGAAGAAUGCCAGUUCAACAUUGUUUUGGAGACGCACAUUAAAGUUUCUGGAUGCAUCACUUUUUAUAGGAAUUUCAACUGAGGAGAUUAUGAAGAAUGUAAAUAGUACAAAGCCUGAAGUGAAGCGAGCUUCAAUAAAUAACAUUCUUGAUAGAGCCAGACUGAAGUAUAUUUUUGUCCCGAUGAGGGGUAAACUUUCUUUUUUCCCCCCAACUAAAUCAAUGUUAAUUAUGUUAUAGUUAAGUGUUGACUUGUUUAUGGAAGUUAUUAUCAUUAUUUGGUCAUGCCUAUUAGAUAGUACUGGAUGGAAUUGUUCAUUCUGGUGGAUAUAUGUGUGGAUGCUCAUUUCGUAAUUUAUCCCAAUAUGCUGGUGCCAAAACCAGGCAUCCAAAUAAUCACAUAUCUUGGAGAAUAGAAGGCUAAAUAUUAUCUUGUUCAAUAACUAAAGACUGCUCAACUCAGCAUUUUGUAAUA